CAGAGAAUAGUUUAAAAAAAUAUUAGUUUUGGGAAUUAAAGAUAAAGUGGUUUCUUUUUCUCUGA
RNAcentral lists this transfer RNA (65 nucleotides) under Cardisoma armatum. RNAcentral's name for it is "tRNA-Pro". It matches the Rfam family "tRNA". From Rfam's summary of the family: Transfer RNA (tRNA) molecules are approximately 80 nucleotides in length. The record is from RNAcentral. Lineage: Eukaryota; Metazoa; Arthropoda; Malacostraca; Decapoda; Gecarcinidae.